UACAGAGGGUGCAAGCGUUGUUCGGAAUUAUUGGGCGUAAAGCGUGCGCAGGCGGUUUGCUAAGACAGGUGUGAAAUCCCCGGGCUUAACCUGGGAACUGCGCUUGUUACUGGCAGGCUUGAGUGUGGCAGAGGGGGGUGGAAUUCCACGUGUAGCAGUGAAAUGCGUAGAUAUGUGGAGGAACACCGAUGGCGAAGGCAGCCCCCUGGGUUAACACUGACGCUCAUGCACGAAAGCGUGGGGAGCAAACAGG
Molecule: ribosomal RNA, 253 nt
Filed under: uncultured bacterium
Lineage: Bacteria
Description: partial 16S ribosomal RNA
Rfam family: Bacterial small subunit ribosomal RNA
Source: RNAcentral